AAAAAAUUCAUUUUUUAGGUGACUUGGUACACCUUAACUCAUUACCAAGUGGCGACUCCAAUUUUCAUUUCAAAAAACCCUUUUUAAACUAUAACUUUGGGUCAAAUCGUCGCAUUCUCAAAUCCCCAUUUAGACCCAUUUUUCCUUUUAAACCACAAUUUAUUUUCCAAUCACAAAUACAUUUUUUUAAAACCAUUUAUAUUUAUUUAUUUCAUUCAAAAAAAAUGGGGCGCGACACCUACCAAGAGAAAGGUUUUUAUGGAGUAAAUCAAAGUUUUAACGGUUGGUUUGUGAGAUCAAGGCAAGAAAUGGAAGAAACAAGUUGAGAGCUUUCUUUUCUUUUCUUGUUGAGAGGGCUGGCCAAAGGAGCUAAAAAUGAUGAAAUAAAUUGGCCAAAGUUAGCUUUAAAAAAGUAAAAAUAUCUUGGUCAAAAGUCCAAGGAUGAAUUGAAUGGUGACACUUGUCACCUUUUGCUUAAAGUUUAUCUCUUUGUCUCUCUAAUACUAAUCCAUAUAGGUAACUUCUAAUUAUCUCUUAGCACCUUGUAAAAUAAUAUCACUUAAUACAAAACUCUAACAAGUUGUCAAAAAUUUAUCGCAUUUACCGCACUAGCGGGUCCCACGUUGAUAAUACACUUCAAACUUAACGUGGACUAACUUGUAUCAAGGAAAUGAUUUGAAAACUAUAUUCCCUUAUAAAAAUAUAUAAGAAAUUAAUAUAUUGAAGAAAGGCAUAAAAUUAUAGACAAGGAAACAAAAUAAUGUCUCGAAAAUAUAUAAAAAUCUUCGGAUUUUCACACUCAUUCUUUCGGGGCGUCACACGGGUAUUAUCCCACUGACCAAUUAAAGGCAGGCUCGAGUAUUAUCCCACUAACCAAUUAUCAAGACAGGCUCGGGUAUUAUCCCACUAACCUAUUAUCAUGGUAGGCUCGGGUAUUGAUCCCACUGACUAAUUGAAUGGCAGGCUCAGGUAUUGAUCCCACUGACCAAUUGAAGGCAGGUUCAGAUAUUAUCUACUAGCCGAUGUUAUGGUAGGCUCGGGUAUUAUCCCACUAAUCAAUAGUACGGUUGGUUCAGAUAUUAUCUCAUUGACUAAUUGAAUGGCAGGCUCGGGUAUUGAUUCCACUGACCAAUUGAAGGCAGGUUCGGAUAUUAUCUACUAGCCGAUGCUAUGGCAGGCUCUGGUAUUAUCCCACUGAUCAAUGGUACGGUUGGUUCAGAUAUUAUCUCACUGACCAAUUGAAUGGCAGGCUCGGGUAUUGAUCCCAUUGAUCAAUUGAAUGGCAGGUUCGGGUGUUGAUUCCACUGACCAAUUGGAGGCAAGCUCGGGUAUUGAUUCCACUGACUAAUUGAAUGGCAGGCUCGGGUAUUCAUCCUACUGACCAAUGACAGGCAGGUUCGAGUAUUCAUCCACUGACCAAUUGAACGACGGGAUUGGGUUUUAUCCCACUAAUUGUUAACAUCACGUUGGGCUUGGAUUUUAUGCCACCAACCUCGGUAGGCUUGGAUAUGUCCUACUGACCGUCCUAUUAUGAUGGAUUUGGAAUUUAAGCAGGCUUGGGUUAUAUCCCAUUGACCAUUUUAUCGUAUCGAAUUUGGAAUGUCGGUAGGCUUGGGUUGUAUCCCACUGACUGAUGUUAUGGCAGGUUCGGGUCUUAUCCCGUUGACUUUUUUUACGUUUACAGGUUUUAGUUCACAGCAGAAUAACCAAAUGUAAGUAUUUAGUGUCUACGUCUUUGUCUCGAGUCUCUUCGAAACUCAGACAAAGAGGGGCGAACUGUAGACACCAAAAAAUUCAUUAAUUCAAUUUUAUACUUUAUUUACUUAGCUUUACUCAUGCAAUUUUAGCUUUGUUUAUUUAAAUCAAUUUUAUUUUUAUUAUUAUUUAUUCUUGUUUCAUAUUUAUUAUUUUAUUUUUUUAAGGUUGCAAAUAGUAAUUGGUGUU
RNAcentral lists this long non-coding RNA (1944 nucleotides) under Coffea arabica (coffee). Its description in RNAcentral is "long non-coding RNA (CARA_LNC002296)". Lineage: Eukaryota; Viridiplantae; Streptophyta; Magnoliopsida; Gentianales; Rubiaceae. The record is from RNAcentral.